This 660-nucleotide ribosomal RNA is filed under the name uncultured bacterium. Its description in RNAcentral is "bacterial SSU rRNA". It matches the Rfam family "Bacterial small subunit ribosomal RNA", at positions 94 to 788 of the family's 1533-position model. The record is from RNAcentral.
AGUGGCGGACGGGUGAGUAACGCGUGAGAAUCUGCCUUGGGGUCGGGGACAACCACUGGAAACGGUGGCUAAUACCGGAUAAGCCGAUUGGUGAAAGAUUUAUUGCCCGAAGAGGAGCUCGCGUCUGAUUAGCUAGUUGGUGAGGUAAGAGCUCACCAAGGCAGCGAUCAGUAGCUGGUCUGAGAGGACGAUCAGCCACACUGGGACUGAGACACGGCCCAGACUCCUACGGGAGGCAGCAGUGGGGAAUUUUCCGCAAUGGGCGAAAGCCUGACGGAGCAAGACCGCGUGAGGGAGGAAGGCUCUUGGGUUGUAAACCUCUUUUCUCAGGGAAGAAGCUCUGACGGUACCUGAGGAAUCAGCCUCGGCUAACUCCGUGCCAUCAGCCGCGGUAAUACGGAGGAGGCAAGCGUUAUCCGGAAUUAUUGGGCGUAAAGCGUCCGCAGGUGGCGAUUCAAGUCUGCUGUCAAAGCACGGGGCUUAACUCCGUAAAGGCAGUGGAAACUGAAUAGCUAGAGUGCCGUAGGGGUAGAGGGAAUUCCCGGUGUAGCGGUGAAAUGCGUAGAGAUCGGGAAGAACAUCGGUGGCGAAAGCGCUCUACUGGACGGCAACUGACACUCAGGGACGAAAGCUAGGGGAGCGAAUGGGAUUAGAUACCCC